Molecule: long non-coding RNA, 427 nt
Filed under: Dasypus novemcinctus (nine-banded armadillo)
Lineage: Eukaryota; Metazoa; Chordata; Mammalia; Cingulata; Dasypodidae
Description: lncRNA (ENSDNOG00000050332.1)
Source: RNAcentral
CUUUGGAGGAAGUCUUAAUGAUAUUGGACAGUUCAUUUUUCUUCGUGGUACAAGAUUUAAGGGUGAAAGAUGAAAGUGGUGUUCCUAUUUGCUUUCCUUUUGGUUACAGCUCACUGCACGCAAGUGCGAGAAUUUUAUUUACGAAUUUGCUGUCAUCACAACUUAUACUGGAAGUUAUAUGAAGUCUUGAAGAUCUGUAGGAAACCACCAAUGAACAGAAGAACUACUGUAGUCCCUGUGCCUCCAGUUCCACCAAGAGUAGAGAUUGAUCCUCCUCUGACUCCUACACCACCAGCGCCCCUUAUCCCCGACAGACGGGGAGAUUCGUGAUUAAUGAAGUUCUUCAGGAACUUCAUAGUCAAAAGCAGCUUCUUUCUCCAGGCAUUGUGUGAUACCACAGUUGAAGAUUAAAAAUGUUAUCUCGCUG